Molecule: long non-coding RNA, 769 nt
Filed under: Arabidopsis lyrata
Lineage: Eukaryota; Viridiplantae; Streptophyta; Magnoliopsida; Brassicales; Brassicaceae
Description: long non-coding RNA (ALYR_LNC002559)
Source: RNAcentral
CUUGUUCUUCAGCAUUCAAUUACUCAUCACCACCCUAUCAAACACGCAUAUUCUUCCUUUACCCUAUCUCUCAAAUAAAAAAUGGCUUCUUGUGAUCCAAAAGGAGAUGUUGUCUUGACGAUGUUUGCUCGAACAAAAAAAAUUUAGAGGAAUUCGGGGAGAUUUUUAAGAAAGUUGACCACAUAAAUAAAGGAACAGAAUUUGAUGUUGGUUUUGCUCAAAGAAUAGAGAAAAUCGAUAAGAAUGUUAAGGAAGCUAGCCAAUAUUAUUCUUAUUUGGAGAAAGAAAAAGCAGCAGAUGAUACCUUUGUGAGUGAUGAAGUAAUGGAAAUGGUUAAGGAUCUUGAUAGCGUGAGUAUUGGUCUGAACAACCUCUUAAAACAAGAGUGGAACUCAUCUCCGUCGAUGAUGAUUUGAUAACUCCAAACCAGAGAAUAAAAAUUAAUUGUCAUUGAUUUGAAGACUAAUCCCUACAUAUCAUCAUACUAAUACAAGAACAACAAUAAUAACGAUGAUGAUAAUUUAUGAAUACAUUGGAUGAAAUUGAUAUUUUUCUAUAUAAUAAUAUUAUUUUAAUGUAUAAAUAUGUAACAUGCAUAUUGAUUAAUUUAAUAAGAUUUUUACAAAAAAUAAUAAUUCGUAUUGCAUUAAUUAUUACAAGAUAAGAAGCGGAUAUGUGACGGCCAAAUAAGUAUGAUACAUAUUGCAUAUGGCUUACUACAACAGAUUUGUGAACAAAAAUAAACGUCGCAAAUAGCUCAAGGCAAAUG